Molecule: ribosomal RNA, 429 nt
Filed under: Fusobacteriota bacterium
Lineage: Bacteria; Fusobacteriati; Fusobacteriota
Description: Fusobacteria bacterium partial 16S ribosomal RNA
Rfam family: Bacterial small subunit ribosomal RNA
Source: RNAcentral
UGGGGAAUAUUGCGCAAUGGGCGAAAGCCUGACGCAGCGACGCCGCGUGAGGGAUGAAGGUUUUCGGAUCGUAAACCUCUGUCAGAAGGGAAGAAACCGCACUGUGCUAAUCAGCAGUGCCUUGACGGUACCUUCAAAGGAAGCACCGGCUAACUCCGUGCCAGCAGCCGCGGUAAUACGGAGGGUGCAAGCGUUAAUCGGAAUUACUGGGCGUAAAGCGCACGUAGGCUGCUUUGUAAGUCAGGGGUGAAAUCCCACGGCUCAACCGUGGAAGUGCCUUUUUUACUGCUUUGCUUGAAUCCGGGAGAGGGUAGCGGAAUUCCGGGUGUAGAGGUGAGAUCCGUAGAUAUCUGGAGGAAACUCAGUGGCGAAGGCGGCCACCUAGACCAAUAUAGAAGCUGAGGUGCGAAAGCGUGGGGAGCAAACAGG